UUUUUUUCUUUUUUUUUUUUAUAAGGAAUUGACCUAACCCUAUUGGAUAACAAGUAAAACUUUUCAUCCAUGUAAAUAUUGAUAGUUACAUUGAACGUUUGGCUAGAUAUGGCAAAUGGAUUUAGAUCACCUUAGGUUUAUUUUCAAGUGAGUUCAGGUUACAUUGAACGUUGGGCAUUCAUUGAUGGCAAUCAUAAUUUGCCCCCUUUCCCUUCUCAGUUCUCACACACAAGAAACGAAAGACUCUCGGUCUCGCCCUUAAUUUCUGCAUGUGUCAUUAUAUAUAGUGUUCAAACAUUUGAAUUUUCAUAAUAGCAAAGAAGGUUGGCAUAGUCGACUCUGAGCUAAAUACAAAAAUUUUCUUUUAAAGAUAUAUUACAAAAAUUUGAACUAAUUAAUUUCAUAUUUUGAAACACAAAAUUAUUUAAUUAUUAUUCUUUUAUUAUAUUUGAUUGCCUUUAAUAUUAAAUUAUGCUGCACAAUAAAUCUUCUAAUUUAACUAAUAUUUUCUUUUUUUCAGAUUGCAGAUUUUGGACUCGCUA
Molecule: unclassified non-coding RNA, 542 nt
Filed under: Hevea brasiliensis (rubber tree)
Lineage: Eukaryota; Viridiplantae; Streptophyta; Magnoliopsida; Malpighiales; Euphorbiaceae
Source: RNAcentral